UCGGAUGUGGUGUAAUGGGAACAUCGCCUCGCAAUAUAUAUGAUAUUCAUAUUCGUAUUCCGAGACUGUUCAGGGUUCGAAUCCCUGUGUCUGAC
Non-coding RNA from Mycena vulgaris, 95 nucleotides. Lineage: Eukaryota; Fungi; Basidiomycota; Agaricomycetes; Agaricales; Mycenaceae. The record is from the annotation of a GenBank genome assembly.